Molecule: ribosomal RNA, 510 nt
Filed under: uncultured bacterium
Lineage: Bacteria
Description: partial 16S ribosomal RNA
Rfam family: Bacterial small subunit ribosomal RNA
Source: RNAcentral
GACGAACGCUGGCGGCGUGCUUAACACAUGCAAGUCGAACGAAGAGCGACGGAAGCUUGCUUCUAUCACUCUUAGUGGCGCACGGGUGAGUAACGCGUAAUCAACCUGCCCUUCAGAGGGGGACAACAGUUGGAAACGACUGCUAAUACCGCAUACGAUCUAACCUCGGCAUCGAGGAUAGAUGAAAGGUGGCCUCUACAUGUAAGCUAUCACUGAAGGAGGGGAUUGCGUCUGAUUAGCUAGUUGGAGGGGUAACGGCCCACCAAGGCGAUGAUCAGUAGCCGGUCUGAGAGGAUGAACGGCCACAUUGGGACUGAGACACGGCCCAGACUCCUACGGGAGGCAGCAGUGGGGAAUCUUCCGCAAUGGACGAAAGUCUGACGGAGCAACGCCGCGUGAGUGAUGACGGCCUUCGGGUUGUAAAGCUCUGUUAAUCGGGACGAAAGGCCUUCUUGCGAAUAGUGAGAAGGAUUGGCGGUACCGGAAUAGAAAGCCACGGCUAACUACGUG